RNAcentral lists this ribosomal RNA (427 nucleotides) under uncultured bacterium. RNAcentral describes it as "bacterial SSU rRNA". It matches the Rfam family "Bacterial small subunit ribosomal RNA", at positions 355 to 775 of the family's 1533-position model. The record is from RNAcentral.
UCGAGAAUUUUUCUCAAUGGGCGAAAGCCUGAAGGAGCGACGCCGCGUGGGGGAUGAAUGGCUUCGGCCCGUAAACCCCUGUCAUUUGUGAACAAACCUUAUCAUUUAAAAGAUGAUGAGCUGAUUGUAGCGGAAGAGGAAGGGACGGCUAACUCUGUGCCAGCAGCCGCGGUAAUACAGAGGUCCCAAGCGUUGUUCGGAUUCACUGGGCGUAAAGGGUGCGUAGGUGGUGAGGUAAGUCCGAUGUGAAAGCUCAGAGCUUAACUCUGAAAUGGCAUAGGAUACUAUCUUGCUUGAGGUUUGGAGGGGGGACUGGAAUUCUCGGUGUAGCAGUGAAAUGCGUAGAUAUCGAGAGGAACACCAGUGGCGAAGGUGAGUCCCUUGACAACACCUGACACUGAGGCACGAAAGCUAGGGGAGCAAACAG